This 308-nucleotide long non-coding RNA is filed under the name Vigna radiata. RNAcentral describes it as "long non-coding RNA (VRAD_LNC011681)". Lineage: Eukaryota; Viridiplantae; Streptophyta; Magnoliopsida; Fabales; Fabaceae. The record is from RNAcentral.
AAUGAUUCACUUUUUGUUCUAUUUGUUGCCCAUCUCUUCAUCAAGUGAAGCCGGAUCUCCUACAACAUGCUUAUGAUUGGUUAGACCUUGUAUGCACCAUAACACUGGCAUCCCCACCACUAUAACUCCAACUACGAACAUUAGCACUAUCUCCUUCACACUCAUCCACAUCAAACUUUGUUUCAAUUUCACCUUCAACAACAUCAUCACCCUCACAUCUUUCUUCUGAAGCAGGAACACUUUCUUCACAGUCACCCUUCUCAACAUGACCAUGAACUUCACCUUUCUCAACUUCCACGUCAUUCACC